RNAcentral lists this ribosomal RNA (2859 nucleotides) under Salmonella enterica subsp. enterica serovar Typhimurium. RNAcentral's name for it is "bacterial LSU rRNA". It matches the Rfam family "Bacterial large subunit ribosomal RNA". Lineage: Bacteria; Pseudomonadati; Pseudomonadota; Gammaproteobacteria; Enterobacterales; Enterobacteriaceae. The record is from RNAcentral.
AGCGUACACGGUGGAUGCCCUGGCAGUCAGAGGCGAUGAAGGGCGUGCUAAUCUGCGAUAAGCGCCGGUAAGGUGAUAUGAACCGUUAUAACCGGCGAUACCCGAAUGGGGAAACCCAGUGUGAUUCGUCACACUAUCAUUAACUGAAUCCAUAGGUUAAUGAGGCGAACCGGGGGAACUGAAACAUCUAAGUACCCCGAGGAAAAGAAAUCAACCGAGAUUCCCCCAGUAGCGGCGAGCGAACGGGGAGGAGCCCAGAGCCUGAAUCAGCAUGUGUGUUAGUGGAAGCGUCUGGAAAGGCGCGCGAUACAGGGUGACAGCCCCGUACACAAAAGCGCAUGUGCUGUGAGCUCGAUGAGUAGGGCGGGACACGUGGUAUCCUGUCUGAAUAUGGGGGGACCAUCCUCCAAGGCUAAAUACUCCUGACUGACCGAUAGUGAACCAGUACCGUGAGGGAAAGGCGAAAAGAACCCCGGCGAGGGGAGUGAAAAAGAACCUGAAACCGUGUACGUACAAGCAGUGGGAGCCCCCUUCGGGGUGUGACUGCGUACCUUUUGUAUAAUGGGUCAGCGACUUAUAUUCUGUAGCAAGGUUAACCGUAUAGGGGAGCCGGAGGGAAACCGAGUCUUAACCGGGCGUUAAGUUGCAGGGUAUAGACCCGAAACCCGGUGAUCUAGCCAUGGGCAGGUUGAAGGUUGGGUAACACUAACUGGAGGACCGAACCGACUAAUGUUGAAAAAUUAGCGGAUGACCUGUGGCUGGGGGUGAAAGGCCAAUCAAACCGGGAGAUAGCUGGUUCUCCCCGAAAGCUAUUUAGGUAGCGCCUCGUGAAUUCAUCUCCGGGGGUAGAGCACUGUUUCGGCUAGGGGGCCAUCCCGGCUUACCAACCCGAUGCAAACUGCGAAUACCGGAGAAUGUUAUCACGGGAGACACACGGCGGGUGCUAACGUCCGUCGUGAAGAGGGAAACAACCCAGACCGCCAGCUAAGGUCCCAAAGUCAUGGUUAAGUGGGAAACGAUGUGGGAAGGCCCAGACAGCCAGGAUGUUGGCUUAGAAGCAGCCAUCAUUUAAAGAAAGCGUAAUAGCUCACUGGUCGAGUCGGCCUGCGCGGAAGAUGUAACGGGGCUAAACCAUGCACCGAAGCUGCGGCAGCGAACGUAUCACCCAAGACAACUUUACGGAGUUGACGAUUGACGGAGCGAAGCGACGUCAAAGCGUUCAUUAAAGUCGAGUUGGCUUAGGGAUACGUUCGUUGGGUAGGGGAGCGUUCUGUAAGCCUGUGAAGGUGUGUCGUGAGGCAUGCUGGAGGUAUCAGAAGUGCGAAUGCUGACAUAAGUAACGAUAAAGCGGGUGAAAAGCCCGCUCGCCGGAAGACCAAGGGUUCCUGUCCAACGUUAAUCGGGGCAGGGUGAGUCGACCCCUAAGGCGAGGCCGAAAGGCGUAGUCGAUGGGAAACGGGUUAAUAUUCCCGUACUUGGUGUUACUGCGAAGGGGGGACGGAGAAGGCUAUGUUGGCCGGGCGACGGUUGUCCCGGUUUAAGCGUGUAGGUGUGUGUUCCAGGUAAAUCCGGUUCACUUUAACACUGAGGCGUGACGACGAGGCACUACGGUGCUGAAGCAACAAAUGCCCUGCUUCCAGGAAAAGCCUCUAAGCAUCAGGUAACAUCAAAUCGUACCCCAAACCGACACAGGUGGUCAGGUAGAGAAUACCAAGGCGCUUGAGAGAACUCGGGUGAAGGAACUAGGCAAAAUGGUGCCGUAACUUCGGGAGAAGGCACGCUGACACGUAGGUGAAGUGAUUUACUCAUGGAGCUGAAGUCAGUCGAAGAUACCAGCUGGCUGCAACUGUUUAUUAAAAACACAGCACUGUGCAAACACGAAAGUGGACGUAUACGGUGUGACGCCUGCCCGGUGCCGGAAGGUUAAUUGAUGGGGUCAGCGCAAGCGAAGCUCCUGAUCGAAGCCCCGGUAAACGGCGGCCGUAACUAUAACGGUCCUAAGGUAGCGAAAUUCCUUGUCGGGUAAGUUCCGACCUGCACGAAUGGCGUAAUGAUGGCCAGGCUGUCUCCACCCGAGACUCAGUGAAAUUGAACUCGCUGUGAAGAUGCAGUGUACCCGCGGCAAGACGGAAAGACCCCGUGAACCUUUACUAUAGCUUGACACUGAACAUUGAGCCUUGAUGUGUAGGAUAGGUGGGAGGCUUUGAAGUGUGGACGCCAGUCUGCAUGGAGCCGACCUUGAAAUACCACCCUUUAAUGUUUGAUGUUCUAACGUGGACCCGUAAUCCGGGUUGCGGACAGUGUCUGGUGGGUAGUUUGACUGGGGCGGUCUCCUCCUAAAGAGUAACGGAGGAGCACGAAGGUUGGCUAAUCCUGGUCGGACAUCAGGAGGUUAGUGCAAUGGCAUAAGCCAGCUUGACUGCGAGCGUGACGGCGCGAGCAGGUGCGAAAGCAGGUCAUAGUGAUCCGGUGGUUCUGAAUGGAAGGGCCAUCGCUCAACGGAUAAAAGGUACUCCGGGGAUAACAGGCUGAUACCGCCCAAGAGUUCAUAUCGACGGCGGUGUUUGGCACCUCGAUGUCGGCUCAUCACAUCCUGGGGCUGAAGUAGGUCCCAAGGGUAUGGCUGUUCGCCAUUUAAAGUGGUACGCGAGCUGGGUUUAGAACGUCGUGAGACAGUUCGGUCCCUAUCUGCCGUGGGCGCUGGAGAACUGAGGGGGGCUGCUCCUAGUACGAGAGGACCGGAGUGGACGCAUCACUGGUGUUCGGGUUGUCAUGCCAAUGGCACUGCCCGGUAGCUAAAUGCGGAAGAGAUAAGUGCUGAAAGCAUCUAAGCACGAAACUUGCCCCGAGAUGAGUUCU